GUGAAUCAUCGAAUUUUUGAACGCAAAUUGCACUCUCCUCGGGGAGUAUGCCUGUUUGAGGGUCAGCCUAUAAAAAAUCGACAUCGUUGCUGUUUCGCGGUGACGUUCGUCGGAAGUUGGGGCAUCUUAAAUCCUUUUGGUUUUAAGCGACUUAAAAUUUUCUUUUUUGUUCCAUGAACGUUGCUACGAUUUAUUUCUUUACACGUUUAAGGGCAUCGAUUUUUAUUAAACGUGACCAUCAUAUCGGAUCGCGUCCAUAAUCUUUCAUUAACUUACCUUAGACAGGUAAGAGUACCCGCUU
Molecule: unclassified non-coding RNA, 301 nt
Filed under: Glomus sp.
Lineage: Eukaryota; Fungi; Glomeromycota; Glomeromycetes; Glomerales; Glomeraceae
Description: partial contains 5.8S ribosomal RNA and internal transcribed spacer 2
Rfam family: 5.8S ribosomal RNA (bases 1-65)
Source: RNAcentral